GUACGGCGAGUGAAGCGGCAAAAGCUCAAAUUUGAAAUCCUUCGGGAGUUGUAAUUUGUAGGUUGGGAGACCCCGCGGCUAGUGGCACCAAGUCCCUUGGAACAGGGCGCCUUAGAGGGUGAGAGCCCCGUAGGUACCACAACACCGUCUUGUGUCUCCUCUCCAAAGAGUCGAGUUGUUUGGGAAUGCAGCUCAAAGUGGGUGGUAAAUUCCAUCUAAAGCUAAAUACCGGCGAGAGACCGAUAGCGAACAAGUACAGUGAUGGAAAGAUGAAAAGCACUUUGAAAAGAGAGUGAAACAGUACGUGAAAUUGUUGAAAGGGAAGGGCUUGCAAGCAGACACGGCCUUCGUGCCGGGCCAGCAUCGGUUGCUAGGGGUGGAUAAGGAACAAGGAAUGUAGCUCCUCGGAGUAUUAUAGCCUUGCGCGAUACACCCACUGGCGACCGAGGCCUGCG
RNAcentral lists this ribosomal RNA (455 nucleotides) under Sungouiella intermedia. RNAcentral describes it as "LSU rRNA". It matches the Rfam family "Eukaryotic large subunit ribosomal RNA", at positions 83 to 551 of the family's 3401-position model. Lineage: Eukaryota; Fungi; Ascomycota; Pichiomycetes; Serinales; Metschnikowiaceae. The record is from RNAcentral.